RNAcentral lists this ribosomal RNA (253 nucleotides) under uncultured bacterium. RNAcentral describes it as "partial 16S ribosomal RNA". It matches the Rfam family "Bacterial small subunit ribosomal RNA", at positions 524 to 776 of the family's 1533-position model. The record is from RNAcentral.
UACGGAGGGUGCGAGCGUUGCUCGGAAUGACUGGGCGUAAAGGGCGCGUAGGCGGCUCAUACAGUCAGGCGUGAAAUUCCUGGGCUCAACCUGGGGACUGCGCUUGAGACGUGUGGGCUUGAGUGGGGAAGAGGGUCGUGGAAUUCCCAGUGUAGAGGUGAAAUUCGUAGAUAUUGGGAAGAACACCGGUGGCGAAGGCGGCGACCUGGUCCUUGACUGACGCUGAGGCGCGAAAGCGUGGGGAGCAAACAGG